Molecule: long non-coding RNA, 1862 nt
Organism: Mesocricetus auratus (golden hamster)
Lineage: Eukaryota; Metazoa; Chordata; Mammalia; Rodentia; Cricetidae
Exons: 5
Source: RefSeq, a predicted model, not a curated record
GGCGGGAGGGAGGGGCGGCGCGCGGCUCGGGCGGGCACUGUGCUUCCGGCCGCGGCGCCCUCCUCAGCCUACUCCUCCCUCCUCUCCGCGGCCGGGGGCGGGGUCGCCGUCCGCUCCGCCCCCUUCCUCCUUCCUUCCAGCAGAAGGGCAAGAGCGAGCCCUGGUGGGCCGAGCGGAGGGUGCAGCGUGCCGCCUGCGCGUCGCCUGUAGGGUCGCCUAACGUGCUCAGCCCGCCUGCGGCCCUUCCCGCCAAAACCUCGCCCGCAGGAGACUGCUGCGCUAAAUUUGGAACCCGAGGAACACCGUGACUGAGCAACGCGUUGCUCACAGCCUCUUUUCUUUGUGCUCUUUUUAGCCCCCUUCUCGUUACUAUAUAAGUCUCUCCACUUUUUAACGUCUGUGAGGAUUUCUACUCACAGCAGUCGGUCACUUACAAAAAGAAUGCCAGCUCUGACGAGACCCUAGAGAUGAUUAAAAUCCGGAAUUCGGAAUUAUCGAUGGGUUUCGAAGCCUGGAACCCCUAAAACAUGAUGCAGCAGGCUGCUAGAAUGAAGAGAGUUGCCAACGUCACACAGUUCAGGAAACUGACGUAUGGAGUGCUUAAAGUCAUUGGGUAAAGUUUGGUUGAAGAAUAGGGUAUUUAUACAGUCUCAAAAUAUCUUUGGAUUUAAAAAGGUCAUUACAGAGGAUUAACAAACGUACCUUUACAGUGGAGAAAUCUGACACUCUCCUGAGAGAAUAUCCAAGUUACCAAUUGGAGUUAAAUAACACAAAGAGCCCCCGGUAUGAGGGGAAGUGUUGCAGUUCUGCUCCCAUCUGCUCCAGCUGGCUGGACCUCACUCUAAUGAAACUGUCACAUGGCACAACAAACCUCACUUAAGAGAUUUAUUGGGAAAGAAGAAUCCAGGAGGUUGGCUGCCUCUGGGGUGAGGUGGCUGCAGACUGAAUAAGGAGCCUUCAUGCAGUACUACUUGACAGCUUUUGCUUUGGUUGUUGCUUUUUGCUGUCAUAUCCAAGAAAUCACUGCUGAGACUGGCAUCAAGAAUAUUUCACCUAUGUUUCCCUUUUGGGGUUUUAUGCUUUCAGGGUUUAUACCUAAGUCUUUAGUUUACACUGAGUUGGUUUUUGUGUGUAGCACAAGAUAGAGAUCCAGUUUCAGGCUUUUGUUUGUGGCUCUCUAGUUCUCCGAAUACCAUUAGUGCAAGAGGCUAUCCUUUCCUGUUGCUUUUGUGAUUUAAUUUUAGGUGCUCUGUUUUGUUCCAUUGGCCUCUAUUUGUUUUUAUGAUAGUAUCAGUACUGUCUUCAUAAUUUUAAAAUCAGAAAGGUUUGAGACCUCCAACUUUAUUCUUGUUUCCCAGUAUUGUUUGGUGAUCCAGAAUCUUUGUGAUUCCAUGUAAAUACACAUUCUUCCCAAGUGCUCAUGGGUCAUUCCCUAAGAUGGAGCACACUUCAAGUAAUAAAACAAGUCUUAAAACAUUUAAGAAAGCCGGGUGGUGGCACACACCCCUCAUCCCAGCACUUGGGAAGCAGGGGCAGGUGGAGCUCUGUGAGUUUGAGGCCAGUCUAGUCUACAGAGCUAGUUCCAGGACAGUGAGGGCUGUUACAUAGAGAAACCCUGUCUCAAAAACAAAACAAAACAAAACAAAAACAAAGAGGAGAAGGAGAAGGAGUAGGAGAAGAAGAAGAAGAAGAAGAAGAAGAAGAUUGAAGCAUGCAAAUAUGUCUUCCAGCCACAGUGAAAUUAAACUAGAAAUCAGUAACAAAAUGAAAAUUAUAAAAUACAAAAAUAUAUGGAAAUUAAAAUGCACAUUUCUGAAAGAAAACCACCAAUGGAUCAAAGAAUAAAUUGCGAUUAGAAAACA